UGGGGAAUAUUGCACAAUGGGCGCAAGCCUGAUGCAGCCAUGCCGCGUGUGUGAAGAAGGCCUUCGGGUUGUAAAGCACUUUCAGCGGGGAGGAAGGCGGUGAGGUUAAUAACCUCAUCGAUUGACGUUACCCGCAGAAGAAGCACCGGCUAACUCCGUGCCAGCAGCCGCGGUAAUACGGAGGGUGCAAGCGUUAAUCGGAAUUACUGGGCGUAAAGCGCACGCAGGCGGUCUGUCAAGUCGGAUGUGAAAUCCCCGGGCUCAACCUGGGAACUGCCUUCGAAACUGGCAGGCUAGAGUCUUGUAGAGGGGGGUAGAAUUCCAGGUGUAGCGGUGAAAUGCGUAGAGAUCUGGAGGAAUACCGGUGGCGAAGGCGGCCCCCUGGACAAAGACUGACGCUAAGGUGCGAAAGCGUGGGGAGCAAACAGG
RNAcentral lists this ribosomal RNA (429 nucleotides) under Chloroflexota bacterium. RNAcentral's name for it is "Chloroflexi bacterium partial 16S ribosomal RNA". It matches the Rfam family "Bacterial small subunit ribosomal RNA", at positions 355 to 776 of the family's 1533-position model. Lineage: Bacteria; Bacillati; Chloroflexota. The record is from RNAcentral.